Molecule: ribosomal RNA, 274 nt
Filed under: uncultured bacterium
Lineage: Bacteria
Description: partial 16S ribosomal RNA
Rfam family: Bacterial small subunit ribosomal RNA
Source: RNAcentral
AUACGGAAGGUGCGAGCGUUGUUCGGAAUUACUGGGCGUAAAGGGCGCGUAGGCGGCGAUGUAAGUCAAAUGUGAAAGUCCUCGGCUUAACCGGGGAAGUGCAUCUGAAACUGCAUUGCUUGAGUAUGGGAGAGGAAAGUGGAAUUCCCGGUGUAGAGGUGAAAUUCGUAGAGAUCGGGAGGAAUACCGGUGGCGAAGGCGACUUUCUGGACCAAUACUGACGCUGAGGCGCGAAAGCGGGGGGAGCAAACAGGAUUAGAAACCCUAGUAGUCC